Molecule: ribosomal RNA, 253 nt
Filed under: uncultured bacterium
Lineage: Bacteria
Description: partial 16S ribosomal RNA
Rfam family: Bacterial small subunit ribosomal RNA
Source: RNAcentral
UACGUAGGGUGCGAGCGUUAAUUGGAAUUACUGGGCGUAAAGCGUGCGCAGGCGGUUUUGUAAGCCAGAUGUGAAAUCCCCGGGCUUAACCUGGGAAUGGCAUUUGGGACUGCAAGGCUGGAGUGCGGCAGAGGAGACUGGAAUUCCUGGUGUAGCAGUGAAAUGCGUAGAUAUCAGGAGGAACACCGAUGGCGAAGGCAGGUCUCUGGGCUGACACUGACGCUCAUGCACGAAAGCGUGGGGAGCAAACAGG